Molecule: ribosomal RNA, 213 nt
Filed under: uncultured bacterium
Lineage: Bacteria
Description: partial 16S ribosomal RNA
Rfam family: Bacterial small subunit ribosomal RNA
Source: RNAcentral
AAUCUACCUUUCCGUCCGGGAUAACUAGCCGAGAGGUUAGCUAAUACCAGAUGCGCUCAUCGAACGGCUUCGUUUGAUGAUGAAAGCAGCAAUGCGCGGAUUGAGGAGCCUGCGGCCCAUUAGCUAGUUGGUGAGGUAACGGCCCACCAAGGCAACGAUGGGUAGCUGGUCUGAGAGGACGACCAGCCACACUGGGACUGAGACACGGCCCAG